Solanum lycopersicum (tomato) is the source of this 1111-nucleotide long non-coding RNA. RefSeq lists it as uncharacterized. NCBI's taxonomy places the organism in Eukaryota, Viridiplantae, Streptophyta, Magnoliopsida, Solanales, Solanaceae. The record is from RefSeq and is a predicted model, not a curated record.
UUGUCCUAAAUUAGUCUCAGGCCCCUUUGUACUGUUAAUAUUGAUUGUUGUUAGGUAUAAUGGAGCCAUGAAAUCCAUGUUCUUCUUCGAGACCCCUGCAAGACGACUUAUUUUUGUGAUGAGACCACAGACAUCAUACUUGUUACCCUUGUGGACACGAUACUUCUACAUCGUUGAUUUAAUGAUAUCUCCAUUGUUGAUAUUUAUAUCCAUCAUCUACUCAUACAAUAAGCACACGUAAUCUAGAAGGAUGUAUAUGAAAUAUAGGCUUGGUACUAGAUAUUUCAUCACUACCUUCAACGACGCCCGCGUGUCUUAAUGAUGUGAGAAUAUGAAAGAUAUUUGUGAUAUCUCUUCCUAUUGUGAUUUUUCCACUAGGCUAUGGACUCCGUUCCAUAUAGUAAAUGUCAGAUGGCUUGGUGGUGGGACCUCAUAUUCAGCCUAGUCAACAUCAAAAUAUAAAUUUUCUCCACAAUACCAAGAAUAUCAUUGAUUCUCGUGGGUAUAAUAGCAACAUUCUAACCACAAACAAUAAAAUAAUAAGCACGGGUUUUCGGCACCCAGUUGUCAUAGAACUCACAUAGUAUACUGAGGAAGCAUUCGUCCGGCUGAACAGAUUCAAACUCCAUUAUAAGAGCUCUUAUCCUCAUGAAGAUAUGCAGGAACUCACGAGCUAGGCUAUCCCAAUUAAUGCGGAUAUUGGAGAAUUAAGAAGCCACGAUGCUUCUGAUACAAACUUUUUCCUUCCUUCAACACGACCUUUGCUAUAUAUCCCUUGGUUUGCCUUUUAGGAAUUGGAGGUACUAUUUGUACAUUUCCGCUUCAUAUCCAGUUCCAUUGGGAAGGCUGAGCCACAGUUUGCCAGGACGUUGUGAUGUACACAUGGUACCUACAAGUUAUAUCAAAGUGUAACCCCAAGUGCAACAUCAAAAAUUAAUAUAUGGGUGGUGUGUGCAAUACCCCACACUUAGUCCAAGGUACGGGUGUUUUUGAAUAUCCUUUCAAUGGUACAAGAGCGAUAGAAAGGAGUGAUCGUCAAUUCAAGAUAAACAAUAUUGAUUCAACAGGUUUUAAUGAGUAUGAUAUAUAAAAUUUUGACAGAUCGUUGAUA